GAAUAAGCUUUUAGGAUAGGAUCCUCUAUCGAGGAUACCCUCUUACUCACAGGUCCAACCUUAAUUGGUUGCUAGACUCACUUUUGAUGUUUAUGCCAUUUUUGAAAGUACUCACACUCUUCCUUCAGAUUUUGUGAAUUAUAAUAUGACCUACUGUACUUUGGGCUCAUGAUAUCAAGGAGGGCUUAAAAUUACUAGGAGUAGCUAAGAAAGGAAAAUAGAGAAGAAUAUGCAAGGUUUUGAAG
Molecule: long non-coding RNA, 245 nt
Filed under: Setaria italica (foxtail millet)
Lineage: Eukaryota; Viridiplantae; Streptophyta; Magnoliopsida; Poales; Poaceae
Description: long non-coding RNA (SITA_LNC004388)
Source: RNAcentral